UCGCCAUAACGCUCGCCUGCACCAAAAACACCCGACCGCUAUUUCCCGAAACCCUCGACUACAGCGGAGAAGGAAUUCACAACGGGAGCUAACGCUGGAGAAGGCGUCGACGGGAUCGGCAGAGCUUGUGAGAUUUGUGGAAUUAAGUUUAAUUAUCCUAUGUCCGGAUUUGUUAAAUCCCGAAUUUAAGCUGGGAAGAAAUGAAAUGUAAGAUUCUGUAAGAUUUAGGGGCUGCCAAACUGCAUCUUAAAGAUGUCAUCUUUUUUGUUUGGGAGUAUUUAUGUUAAAUCCUGCGCAAAUCCGAUUCAAACCCUGCCACCAAACAGCCUCGUAGAUUCUUCCAUCUUUGUUGACUUUAUAUCCUUGGGUUUGGUGCUGUGUUGAUGGUUGUUAGUGUUUGAGUGGAAGUUGAGGAAUUCUCGGAUAUAAGAUGGUUAGAUUGUUCUUAGGCCCACCACCUUCAGGUAUCUUCGGAGACAGAGAUGCUGUGAAGGAGAGAGUAGAACUUUUGGAAAAACUUGAAUCAGUUAUAUGGUCCGCUAUGGUCUCCGGUGAUCGAUAUGAAGCUCGCCUAUGGCUUUGCAAUACGAUUUCAUCCAUUCACUCUAUAACUCUUCGUGAGCAAUGUAAGUUGUUUAUUGACUUAUUGAGACUCAAGAAGUCAAAGCAUGAUGUUGCGGCUCGAUUGUUGCAGAUGAUCUUUGAAAAUAGGCCAGGCUUAGCUGGUUCUAUCAUUGCAAAGAAGAUCUGCAUGCUUGAGAAGUUUUUUGAAGGGAAUCCAAGACGUAUUUUGGAAUGGUUUGAUCACUUUGCCACUGUUGGAGAAUCAGGGCAUAAAAAAGGAGCCAGAGCACUCUCCAAGUUUGCUUUUAUGAACCGCAACACAUGCUGGGAGGAGCUUGAGUGGAAAGGAAGACAUGGACAGUCUCCAGCAGUUGUUGCCACCAAACCCCAUUAUUUCCAUGAUCUGGAUGUUCUUCAGACUGUAGAGAACUUUCUUAAGUAUGUGCCAGAUUUUUGGUCUUCAGAUGAACUUGCCGAAUCUGUUAAAGAUGGUGAAAUCUUAAAGAUUGAUCAAAAAUAUUUUAUAGAUUCAUUUCUUCACUGGAUGUAUGAAGAAAAUUUAGACGGAGUAUGGGUGGCCGUAGAGGAGUUUAUGAUGAAUCAGCAAUUCUCAUUUCUUUGCCAGCAUCUACUUGUUGUUGUGGAUGAUUCCAGGAUGCUAACUUUUUUUAAUUCUAUCAGUAAAUUCAUUAAUGUAGAUGCACAAUGCAAGGAAUUAAAACACCCAUCAUGUUGGCUAGAGUACCUCUUGUCAACUUGCAGUGGUUCUGUAUCUGUUGAAGAAUAUAUCUUGCUGAAUGCUGUAAUUUCUCAUGGAAGACAGCUUCUACGUCUAAUGACUAAUGAAGAGCAUGAGAGUGAGAAGCAAAAGCUGGAGAAGCUAUUGAUGAAUGCCUUGAAAUUUUGUGAUACUGAUCACUGGUAUUUCAUAAAAGAAUGCACGGAGAUGGAAAAGAAGAUAGCAAUAAAAUUGAUUGGGCUUCAGUCUUGGGUUAUUCAGUAUCAUUUGGCACAGGAAUGCAAAACUCAACAAUCAUGUGAAUUAUUGUUUUCUGAGAAUGGAAUAAGUUUUCGCAGGGCUGAGAAGUUCUAUCUGUUACAAUCUAAUGGAACUUUAGAAGAACAUGGUUCAGAGAUUGAUGAUGAAGAUUUUGAUAGACGAAGUCACAAUAGGAGAAGGAAAGAAAAGAAGAGGAGGAAAAAGAAACAGAAUCAUGCUAAUGAAAGUGCUGAUGAGCUUUUGGAAUUUGAACCUUUGAACAGUUUGCAUGAUUGUAAAUCAGGAGGGAGGAGUUGGCUGCUCUCUACCAACAAUUAUUCCUGUGCCUGGAAUGCUGCUGAUUUGCCGGAUCAUUUUGCCAAGCGUUGUUUUUCUACGUGGAUGAAAUGGGUCUUAUCUAUGUGGUAGCUCUUAAUUUCACGAGUGGAUGUACAUUUCAGUUUAUCAAGUAUGGACAUCGUCAAUGGUGAUAUAUGUUAGUGAUCUCUUCAAAGAGAGAACUGAAAACAAGCCCAGUAUUAACAACUGGAUGAUUCACCGCAAGGCAAAGAAGAGUACUGUGUGAAUAUCCAUGAGUGUAUUUGUUUGAUGGCUGAUAGUGUGAAUGAAGUUGCUAACGUUAUCAAUAUCUCAAUAACAUCUCCAAAGGAAAUUCGAAAUAUGUAUAGUGAAUUGAUGCUUGAGUUAACAAAUAUUCCUGGCUUCUCAGUAGAAGAGGUUGAUACGAUAUAUGAUAAUUUAUUAAAAAAUCCUACACUUAUAUCAUUUUUAUUUUUCAAAACCUACUGAUUCGAAGGCUAGGUGGAUGCGCAAGGAGCUAGGAAAUUGAUUUAUAUUUUUGAAGAUUGGCAUAUUUAUUAAGUUGUUAUCAUUAAAAAUUGUUUCGUAUAACAUUGUUGUAAUUAUAACUACGAAUAAUGGGUAUUGUUUUA
RNA transcript from Dendrobium catenatum, 2496 nucleotides. RefSeq lists it as uncharacterized. The transcript has 4 exons. The record is from RefSeq and is a predicted model, not a curated record. Lineage: Eukaryota; Viridiplantae; Streptophyta; Magnoliopsida; Asparagales; Orchidaceae.